RNAcentral lists this ribosomal RNA (301 nucleotides) under uncultured bacterium. Its description in RNAcentral is "partial 16S ribosomal RNA". It matches the Rfam family "Bacterial small subunit ribosomal RNA", at positions 509 to 807 of the family's 1533-position model. The record is from RNAcentral.
CAGUAGCCGCGGGAAUACGUAGGGUGCAAGCGUUAAUCGGAAUUACUGGGCGUAAAGCGUGCGCAGGCGGUUAUAUAAAACAGAUGUGAAAUCCCCGGGCUCAACCUGGGAACUGCAUUUGUGACUGUAUAGCUAGAGUACGGCAGAGGGGGAUGGAAUUCCGCGUGUAGCAGUGAAAUGCGUAGAUAUGCGGAGGAACACCGAUGGCGAAGGCAAUCCCCUGGGCCUGUACUGACGCUCAUGCACGAAAGCGUGGGGAGCAAACAGGAUUAGAGACCCGAGUAGUCCCUGUCUCUUAUAC